CUCCGUAGGUGAACCUGCGGAGGGAUCAUUACUGAGCGAGGGCCCCGGGCCCGACCUCCAACCCUUUGUGAACACAUCUCGUUGCUUCGGUUGCGACCCUGCCGUUCCGACGGCGGGCGCCCCCGGAGGCCCUCCCACCCUGCAUCUCUGCGUCGGAGUUCGAGUAAAUUGAACAAAACUUUCAACAACGGAUCUCUUGGUUCUGGCAUCGAUGAAGAACGCAGCGAAAUGCGAUAAGUAAUGUGAAUUGCAGAAUUCAGUGAAUCAUCGAAUCUUUGAACGCACAUUGCGCCCUCUGGUAUUCCGGAGGGCAUGCCUGUUCGAGCGUCAUGUCACCACUCAAGCUUGGCUUGGUGUUGGGCGCCGCGGUCCCGCCGCGCGCCUCAAAGUCCCCCGGCUGAGCCGUCCGCCUCCAAGCGUCGUGAUUUCAUUAAUCGCUUCGGGGCGCGGGCGGCCGCGGCCGUUAAAUCUCGUCACUGGUUGACCUCGGAUCAGGUAGGGAUACCCGCUGAAC
This 514-nucleotide ribosomal RNA is filed under the name Phloeospora ulmi. RNAcentral describes it as "eukaryotic LSU rRNA". The stretch from base 177 to 330 matches the Rfam family "5.8S ribosomal RNA". The record is from RNAcentral. Lineage: Eukaryota; Fungi; Ascomycota; Dothideomycetes; Mycosphaerellales; Mycosphaerellaceae.